Molecule: long non-coding RNA, 528 nt
Filed under: Phasianus colchicus (ring-necked pheasant)
Lineage: Eukaryota; Metazoa; Chordata; Aves; Galliformes; Phasianidae
Description: lncRNA (ENSPCLG00000021188.1)
Source: RNAcentral
AUGAGCAGUGUGUGUCAGAGUGAGAAACAGCACCUGGAUCUCUCAAUUGUGAAGCUGUUGCUCUUGGCACUGCGUCAUCCUGACUGCAAACAAAACACUGAGAUUGACUUUGCCUGUGUCCUUCUUAUGCCUACAAAUGUGCCCACCUGCCAGCUUCAGAGCCAGCAGUCCACACCAUGUACCCAAGGCAAGCCUGAUGCUUCUGCACGACAUCCAAAACUAUCAGUGCUGGGACCAGAGAGACUAAUAGGAAAACUUAAAAUUUUUAAGUCUGCCAGCCCAACAGCUCCUCUGGAAGAGCAUCCAGACGACACAGCGGGGAGCAGGCACUGCUUGCCUGCACUCAGCAAUGUGCUAUUGAAUCACUGGGCCACAAAGCAAGUGCAUGCGAGGGAGCGUGGCUGCCUUUCCUACCGGUUUGAGCAUUCACAUGGGAGUUUGAGAGUCUGGACUCUGCUCCCAGGACUGUUUAUGCAUUUUACGUGGAACAGUCACCAGGUAACAUAUAAUCCCCAAUCAAAGCCCUGA